CAGCCGCCGCGGGAAUACGGAGGGUGCAAGCGUUAAUCGGAAUUACUGGGCGUAAAGCGCACGCAGGCGGUCUGUCAAGUCAGAUGUGAAAUCCCCGGGCUUAACCUGGGAACUGCAUUUGAAACUGGCAGGCUAGAGUCUUGUAGAGGGGGGUAGAAUUCCAGGUGUAGCGGUGAAAUGCGUAGAGAUCUGGAGGAAUACCGGUGGCGAAGGCGGCCCCCUGGACAAAGACUGACGCUCAGGUGCGGAAGCGUGGGGAGCAAACAGGAUUAGAUACCCCAGUAGUCCCUGUCUCUUAUAC
RNAcentral lists this ribosomal RNA (301 nucleotides) under uncultured bacterium. Its description in RNAcentral is "partial 16S ribosomal RNA". It matches the Rfam family "Bacterial small subunit ribosomal RNA", at positions 509 to 807 of the family's 1533-position model. The record is from RNAcentral.